AGAUGACCCUAGAGAGUGGGACCCUGGAGAUUUAGAAAGCUGGGAAGUGGAAAGGGGAAGUGCCCAGAAAAGUUACCAUCAUCAGUUUGAAAGCUAAAUUGCCAUCAUUACUAGACUCUCAGCAUUCUAUCUUCAAAAAAGAAGGAGGAAGUUCCUUGCUACUUAUAUUGGAUUUGAGCAUUUUUCUUUUGCAUCUACUCUCCAAGAAUGCUUAUUAAAAUGGUGGUUCAGAGAAUUUGACAUGACGAGCUCAGCUGGUCUAAACCACCUCUCCCAUUAAAGGCUACUGAUAACUCUUCUAUAAUUUCUUGAAUGGAUGGAUCCUCACUGGUGAAUCUGAUAUUCCUCACUUUGAAGAACUGAGCCUCUAUCCACUGGGCCACCUCGCUGUCCCUGGUCCGCAUGUUCAUCUAAGACACUAUUAUUUAAGACUUUUGAACCAGUUAUAAGAUUCAGAAGGAUUCUUUAAAGAAGAAAAAAUUCCCAGGGAAAUUGGGAGCCAAUAGGAGACCAUUAAAAGGUUCCAGCCAAACCAGGUUACUUGCUGCUCCCUCCUGUUCCAGACAUUCCAUCUAUCUCCAUGCUGUUCACAGACUAUCCCCCAUGCUUGGAAUAUUCUGCUUUUUACCUGUGCCUCUUAGAACCCCUAACUUUCUUCAGGGCUGAAGAUCUACCACUUUUUUUUUAAAAAAUAAAGCUUUUAUUGCUCUGCUUCA
Long non-coding RNA from Monodelphis domestica (gray short-tailed opossum), 716 nucleotides. RefSeq lists it as uncharacterized. The record is from RefSeq and is a predicted model, not a curated record. NCBI's taxonomy places the organism in Eukaryota, Metazoa, Chordata, Mammalia, Didelphimorphia, Didelphidae.